RNAcentral lists this ribosomal RNA (497 nucleotides) under uncultured bacterium. Its description in RNAcentral is "partial 16S ribosomal RNA". It matches the Rfam family "Bacterial small subunit ribosomal RNA", at positions 28 to 507 of the family's 1533-position model. The record is from RNAcentral.
GAUGAACGCUGGCGGCGUGCCUAAUACAUGCAAGUCGAGCGAACAGACGAGGAGCUUGCUCCUCUGACGUUAGCGGCGGACGGGUGAGUAACACGUGGAUAACCUACCUAUAAGACUGGGAUAACUUCGGGAAACCGGAGCUAAUACCGGAUAAUAUAUUGAACCGCAUGGUUCAAUAGUGAAAGACGGUUUUGCUGUCACUUAUAGAUGGAUCCGCGCCGCAUUAGCUAGUUGGUAAGGUAACGGCUUACCAAGGCGACGAUGCGUAGCCGACCUGAGAGGGUGAUCGGCCACACUAGAACUGAGACACGGUCCAGACUCCGACGGGAGGCAGCAGUAGGGAAUCUUCCGCAAUGGGCGAAAGCCUGACGGAGCAACGCCGCGUGAGUGAUGAAGGUCUUCGGAUCGUAAAACUCUGUUAUUAGGGAAGAACAAAUGUGUAAGUAACUAUGCACGUCUUGACGGUACCUAAUCAGAAAGCCACGGCUAACUACGUG